UGGAACUUCUUUGUCGGGCUUGGUAGCGGCAAAACUGGGAGCAGAUGUUACACUUACAGAUAAUUCAAGUCGACUAGAGGAUCAAGGAGGAAGAAACAUGAUGCUUCAACAACUUGGAGGAGUAAAUGCAAUUGGAUUCUAUAAAUUAUGCAAAGUUCAUCAAGUUAUGUAAACAAUUGUAUUCUUUAUAAUCUAUGUAAAAAAUUUAUGUA
Molecule: long non-coding RNA, 212 nt
Organism: Asparagus officinalis (garden asparagus)
Lineage: Eukaryota; Viridiplantae; Streptophyta; Magnoliopsida; Asparagales; Asparagaceae
Exons: 2
Source: RefSeq, a predicted model, not a curated record